This is a long non-coding RNA of Esox lucius (northern pike), 1399 nucleotides long. Lineage: Eukaryota; Metazoa; Chordata; Actinopteri; Esociformes; Esocidae. The record is from Ensembl.
AGAUGGAGAAUGGUGUGUGUGGGAGAAUGGCAUCGGUGUGUGUCAGAAGCAUUGAAAAGAAUGCCUACCAUGUUAUGGCAUGUGUCAUUUUAGGAAGACAAUGUCACAGGUUUUUCAAGUUCUUAUCUACUGGAUCUUACAUUUUUGUCUGUGUGUUCAUCUUUCACUUGAAAAGUGAAAAAUGCAUGAAGUGAAACGAAAACGAAAGGGGAGAGCACUUCCUGCUUUCAGGCCUGUCAGUCACAUAAAAAUUAUAGAGUAAUUGGUGAACAAGGAACUACAAUACUUUUUAACAAUUAACAAUACUCUUUCCUGCAUUCAAACUGGUUUCCGACCAAAUCACAAUAUCAUUACUGUCACAGUACUUGUUGUAAAUGAUAUUGCUAAUGCACUGGAGACAAUAGAAAGUGCUGUGCCGCCAUGUUUGUAGAUUUGUCUAAAGCCUUUGACACUGUAGACCAUGCGGUACUUUUGAGUAAGCUGUCAGCAAUAGAACUGGGAUCGGAUGCCUGUCGUCUGUACAUAUAAAUACUUAUGGAUCUGGCUGGAUGAUAAAUUGUCUUUUAAAAUACAUGUUGGUGAACUCAGUAAAAGGCUAAAAAUCAAGCUAGGCUUCCUCUAUAGAAACAGAUCAUGUUUUACCUCUGCAUUUAGCAAAUAAAUUGUGCAAGCUACUUUUAUGUCAGUUGUUGAUUAUGGGGAUAUUAUCUACAUGCUGCAGCGCCCUUCUAUUACAUUUUUUUUUUUACUUCUUACUGAUGCGUAUCAAUGUAGUACAGUGCAUAUAUGCAAUAUACAUUAUUUUUGUAGUAGACAAAGCAUGCAAAAAAGUAGCCAAUCAAAUUUGAAUAAUAAAUAAAGCCAAUCACGUGUAAAUAAUUACAAACGCGUCAUUUUAAAUAUGACCAAUACAGAAAUCAUGUGCACGAGACCGACGUAUGAAAUCGCUCUGCAACUGAGACGACGAAGUAAAUGUCAUCCAAGAUUUUGAAAGCCAUCAGAUCCGCCGUGAUCCUUUGUUUCGGACCUCCACCAAGAGGACAAAAGCUUCAGCCCUUCCUGCCUCUGGUUCAGAGUCUGAAAUCACACCACGGAAGCCUGGGGAUUACCUGGAUCUCAACACAAGUGGGCUGUGGUGGGAGCAGCUUGACCGCGUGGUACGUGAGAAGUGCCCAUCAAGCCAAUCCAACUGGUGGGACGUGCUUCAGGUAGCGUGGGGUGAAAUCUCUUCAGAUUGCCACAACAAAUUGACAACUACAAUGGCAAAGGUCUGCAAGGCUGUAAUUGCUGCAAAUUGAGGAUUAUUUGAAGACAGCGACGUUUGAAGGACACAAUUAUUAUUUCAAUAAAACAAAAUAUUUCUAACCUUGUCAAUGACUGAAUAAACUGUUUAAACUCA